Long non-coding RNA from Gopherus evgoodei (Goodes thornscrub tortoise), 173 nucleotides. RefSeq lists it as uncharacterized. The transcript has 3 exons. The record is from RefSeq and is a predicted model, not a curated record. NCBI's taxonomy places the organism in Eukaryota, Metazoa, Chordata, Testudines, Testudinidae.
AGAAAAUAUUCUUUCUACACUGUCAGAAGAAGAUACUGCUGUAAAAAGUGAGAUUAUUAUUUCAACAGUCUCUGAAUCCAUGUGCUUAAGUGGCUUCCACCACUUCACUGCUGUGAUUUUUCUUUAAAACAUCAUCAGCAAUCAUAUUUCUUGAAUGGUUUUUAUUCCAAAAC